GAUGAACGCUGGCGGCGUGCCUAAUACAUGCAAGUCGAGCGAACAGACGAGGAGCUUGCUCCUCUGACGUUAGUGGCGGACGGGUGAGUAACACGUGGAUAACCUACCUAUAAGACUGGGAUAACUUCGGGAAACCGGAGCUAAUACCGGAUAAUAUAUUGAACCGCAUGGUUCAAUAGUGAAAGACGGUUUUGCUGUCACUUAUAGAUGGAUCCGCGCCGCAUUAGCUAGUUGGUAAGGUAACGGCUUACCAAGGCAACGAUGCGUAGCCGACCUGAGAGGGUGAUCGGCCACACUGGAACUGAGACACGGUCCAGACUCCUACGGGAGGCAGCAGUAGGGAAUCUUCCGCGAUGGGCGAAAGCCUGACGGAGCAACGCCGCGUGAGUGAUGAAGGUCUUCGGAUCGUAAAACUCUGUUAUUAGGGAAGAACAAAUGUGUAAGUAACUAUGCACGUCUUGACGGUACCUAAUCAGAAAGCCACGGCUAACUACGUG
Molecule: ribosomal RNA, 497 nt
Filed under: uncultured bacterium
Lineage: Bacteria
Description: partial 16S ribosomal RNA
Rfam family: Bacterial small subunit ribosomal RNA
Source: RNAcentral